Molecule: long non-coding RNA, 1045 nt
Filed under: Homo sapiens (human)
Lineage: Eukaryota; Metazoa; Chordata; Mammalia; Primates; Hominidae
Description: HSALNT0125064
Source: RNAcentral
CAGUUUGUGGUUUUAUAUGCUUCUAACUAAUCAUUGUUCAUUAUACCAAGAGAAUCAGAUUUCCAACUAUGGUUUGAUGUCAUUGUGUAUAUACAGGACGUCCACAGGUGCCUGGAAAGCCAUAAAGAAAAAGAAGGAAACCAGCCAAGACUAAAGUUUCACAGAUCCAGAUGUGGCUGCUGCUGCUGUUUGGGAAAAAAAAAAUAACACAUUUUAGACCUUGGCAUUUCAGCAUUACAGCUGGCAAGUAAUAAGAGAGAAUGAAGUCUGUGUGCGUGCAUGCGUGCGUGCAUGCUCCUUUUGUGGCAGAAAAGGGGGAAAUGGAAGGCAGGAAAGUCCAAUCUGCUGGAGUAAAAUAGAAAUGUGGAUGAGAGCCUGUUCAACCCCACUGGCAAUGAGUGCCCAUCACUGGAUACACCACCAAUGAAAAGAGAUGUUCUUAAUUCUACGAAGUCUUGGACAGUAGUCUGCAGAAAUCUAAAUGGCAAGACAAGUUAACAUCUGUUCAUUCUUUACUAUAAGUCUACACUUACAGGAUAAAAUUGAGAAAAGACAAUUUAAAAUCAUCCUAAUCUGAAGAAGCUAAUCCUUGUUUUCUUUCAGUGGCAAUUUAGUGUGGUAGUUAAAAGAACAUAGCUUUAACAUGUGGCUGUGACGUCAAUCCAAGGCACUGAUAAAUUGAAAUAUAUGUGUGUGUAUACACACACACACACACACACACACGUAUGUAUAAAUCUGUGCUUUAUUUAAAAAGCAUAGAAGAAAAAAUAAUUUAUUUUUUAGUUCUUACCCCAGAGUAAAUAUUUACAGUUCUUGACUAUAUUAAAACAUUGAGUACCUUUAUUAAGUUUACUAUACUGAAAUAUGUUAUUAUUUACAUGUCUUGACUCCCUACAUACAUAUUAUCAAGGUAAUGACUUAACAUUUCAGAGUUAUGAAUCAUUUUAUCAUUUAGGAUAAGAAAGAGAAAUAAUGCAAUCUCAUUCUAUAAAAAGUCAUGAUUCCAGCUAAGACUGGUAUCUUUAAUAAUAUAUCAGGACUUGAU